Molecule: long non-coding RNA, 264 nt
Organism: Lacerta agilis (Sand lizard)
Lineage: Eukaryota; Metazoa; Chordata; Lepidosauria; Squamata; Lacertidae
Exons: 3
Source: RefSeq, a predicted model, not a curated record
CCUACAGCCCUCCGGAUGCUGCCUGGAUUUCCAUACCUGUAGCCAGUACAGCCAAGCGGACUUGAUCAGGGACACAGAUUUCCUGGCUACAGUCAUCCCCUCUUUGGACUAGAACGAGAAACAACAUUGAUUUCGGAGGGGAAUCAAUCAAGGCAGGCAAGCAAAAUGAAUUAUCAAAGUUGAAAGACAUAUUCCAGCCAGGCAAAAGCACUCAAGGAGGGUGCAAAGCAGAGCUGCUGAGAAGAGUGGCCUGGGGAGAGUGGA